Molecule: long non-coding RNA, 990 nt
Organism: Salvelinus namaycush (lake trout)
Lineage: Eukaryota; Metazoa; Chordata; Actinopteri; Salmoniformes; Salmonidae
Exons: 4
Source: RefSeq, a predicted model, not a curated record
ACACUAGCAGAGAUAUUGAACUCUUGUACUUUCCAUGCCUUUAGGGCACAUCACCCAGAUUGCCUGCUAUUCCAGAAAUGUAGAAAGGAACUCCGUAAAAUGCUGUUGAAGAUCACAACACGAACGAGCAGAUGUACACAGAGCAAAGAAGAGGAUCAAAGAAAAAUACUUUUUCAGGUCAGCCAGAGGAUCCAGCCUGCUACAGCACUUUUCCUGACAGAAGCCCAACUCCCCUUCCUAUUGGCUGACAGGAUCAUGUGACCGGACUCUGGCCAUUUUUCUGAGCCAAUCAGACGGAGGAUGCCUCUGGCUGGGUGGGAGAGUGGAAGUGCUAUCUCUCUUCCUCCCUCUGUUUCUGUGGCGCUGUCUGACAGGAGAAUGGUGGUUGGCCGGGAAUAGGCGUAGACCAGCCGACCUGCUGAUUCUGGAGAACGGACCGCGAGAGAGAAUGUCACGUUCGUAUUUUGUUUUGUUGUUUGUCGGUGUUCAUUAAAGAAAUAAAUAGAAUGAACACAUACGACACUGCACUUUGGAACACUUCUUCCCAUGACGAUCGUGACAGAACAACCCACCACAAACGGACCAAGUGGCGUGGCCGGGAGGAGCAGACAGAGUGGACAUGGGAAGACAUUCUGGAAGGAAAGGGAUCCUGGACGUGGGAGGAGAUCCUGGCUGGAAAGGAUCGCCUGCCGUGGAAGCAGGUGGACGCAGCGAGGAAGGCGGAAGCAGCUAGUAAAGGGGCCCAGCGUUACACAGGGUCACGGCUGGCAAGGAAGACCGGGAGGCCACUCCCCCAAUUUUUUGGGUGGUACUGGUCAGGCACCGUGUUAUGCGGUGAAGCGCAUGGUGUCUCCAGUGCGCGUUCACAGCCCGGUGCGCUCUGAGCCAGCUCUCCGCAUGUGUCGUGCUAGAGGGGGCAUCCAGCCAGGACGGAUUGUGCCAGCACAGCGCUCCUGGUCUCCGGUGCGCCUCUUCGGCCCAGGACAUCCU